RNAcentral lists this ribosomal RNA (301 nucleotides) under uncultured bacterium. RNAcentral describes it as "partial 16S ribosomal RNA". It matches the Rfam family "Bacterial small subunit ribosomal RNA", at positions 509 to 809 of the family's 1533-position model. The record is from RNAcentral.
CAGUCGCCGCGGUAACACGGAGGGAGCUAGCGUUGUUCGGAAUUACUGGGCGUAAAGCGCACGUAGGCGGUUAUUCAAGUCAGAGGUGAAAGCCCGGGGCUCAACCCCGGAACUGCCUUUGAAACUAGAUGACUGGAAUCUUGGAGAGGUCGGUGGAAUUCCGAGUGUAGAGGUGAAAUUCGUAGAUAUUCGGAAGAACACCAGUGGCGAAGGCGACUGACUGGACAAGUAUUGACGCUGAGGUGCGAAAGCGUGGGGAGCAAACAGGAUUAGAUACCCGUGUAGUCCCUGUCUCUUAUAA